RNAcentral lists this ribosomal RNA (1039 nucleotides) under Leptodactylus mystacinus (moustached frog). Its description in RNAcentral is "partial large subunit ribosomal RNA". It matches the Rfam family "Bacterial large subunit ribosomal RNA", at positions 965 to 2625 of the family's 2925-position model. The record is from RNAcentral. Lineage: Eukaryota; Metazoa; Chordata; Amphibia; Anura; Leptodactylidae.
UGUGAGCUUAAUUUUAGAGCAAUUCAAGUAAGGUACAGCCUGCUUGAAACAGGAUACAACCUAAAAAUGUGGGUAAUUAAAUCUUUCUGCCAUAAAGUGGGCCUAAAAGCAGCCACCUUUUGAAUAGCGUCACAGCUUAAUCACAUACAGAUUUAAUAACAAAAAUUUUACCGAACCCCACCCUACUACCAAGCAAUUCUAUAUUUUUAUAGAACUUUUUAUGUUAAAACUAGUAACAAGAAGAACCCCUUCUCUUUAAUGCAAGCAUAAAUCAGCCAGGACCAACCACUGAUAAUUAACACCUAUGAACUAAUAGUAACAACACUUCAAGAAAACCUUACUUCAUCUUAUGUUAACCUAACACAAGAGCAUUAUAAGAAAGAUUAAAAGAAAAAGAAGGAACUCGGCAAACAUUAACCCCGCCUGUUUACCAAAAACAUCGCCUCUUGAUUCUAAUAAGAGGUCCAGCCUGCCCAGUGACUUUGUUCAACGGCCGCGGUAUCCUAACCGUGCGAAGGUAGCGUAAUCACUUGUUCUUUAAAUGAGGACUAGUAUGAAUGGCACCACGAAGGUUAUACUGUCUCCUUUCUCUAAUCAGUGAAACUAAUCUUCCCGUGAAGAAGCGGGAAUAAACAUAUAAGACGAGAAGACCCUAUGGAGCUUUAAACAAGUAUACAACUGCCUUUCCUAUUUUAAAAUUUCAGAAAACAAACCAUUAUUUAGGCAUUUUGAUAUAAAGUUUUAGGUUGGGGUGACCACGGAGAAAAAUGUAACCUCCGCAAUGAACGGGACUUCCCCCCCUUAACUAAGAGCUACGACCCUAAGAAUCAAUAAAUUGACAUCAAUUGACCCAAUAAAUUUGAUCAAUGAACCAAGUUACCCUAGGGAUAACAGCGCAAUCCACUUCAAGAGCCCCUAUCGACAAGUGGGUUUACGACCUCGAUGUUGGAUCAGGGUAUCCUAGUGGUGCAGCCGCUACUAACGGUUCGUUUGUUCAACGAUUAAAACCCUACGUGAUCUGAGUUCAGACCGGCUAUUG